GAUGAACGCUGGCGGCGUGCCUAAUACAUGCAAGUCGAGCGAAUGGAUUGAGAGCUUGCUCUUAUGAAGUUAGCGGCGGACGGGUGAGUAACACGUGGGUAACCUGCCCAUAAGACUGGGAUAACUCCGGGAAACCGGGGCUAAUACCGGAUAACAUUUUGAACCGCAUGGUUCGAAAUUGAACGGCGGCUUCGGCUGUGACUUAUGGAUGGACCGGCGUCGCAUUAGCUAGUUGGUGAGGUAACGGCUCACCAAGGCAACGAUGCGUAGCCGACCUGAGAGGGUGAUCGGCCACACUGGGACUGAGACACGGCCCAGACUCCUACGGGAGGCAGCAGUAGGGAAUCUUCCGCAAUGGACGAAAGUCUGACGGAGCAACGCCGCGUGAGUGAUGAAGGCUUUCAGGUCGUAAAACUCUGUUGUUAGGGAAGAACAAGUGCUAGUUGAAUAAGCUGGCACCUUGACGGUACCUAACCAGAAAGCCACGGCUAACUACGUGCCAGCAGCCGCGGUAA
RNAcentral lists this ribosomal RNA (515 nucleotides) under uncultured bacterium. RNAcentral's name for it is "partial 16S ribosomal RNA". It matches the Rfam family "Bacterial small subunit ribosomal RNA", at positions 28 to 523 of the family's 1533-position model. The record is from RNAcentral.